ACCGGGUUCUCUUUGUGGUGAUAUGACAACUCAUAACCAUUCCUUAUCACCGGGAGACAACCUGGUAU
Molecule: microRNA precursor, 68 nt
Filed under: Caenorhabditis briggsae
Lineage: Eukaryota; Metazoa; Nematoda; Chromadorea; Rhabditida; Rhabditidae
Description: Cbr-Mir-36-o20_pre stem-loop
Source: RNAcentral